UACAGAGGUCUCAAGCGUUGUUCGGAUUCAUUGGGCGUAAAGGGUGCGUAGGCGGCGCGGUAAGUCGGGUGUGAAAUCUCGGAGCUUAACUCCGAAACUGCAUUCGAUACUGCCGUGCUUGAGGACUGGAGAGGAGACUGGAAUUUACGGUGUAGCGGUGAAAUGCGUAGAUAUCGAGAGGAACACCUGCGGCGAAGGCGGGUUGCUGGGCUGACACUGACGCUGAUGCGCGAAGGCCAGGGGAGCAAACGGG
Molecule: ribosomal RNA, 253 nt
Filed under: uncultured bacterium
Lineage: Bacteria
Description: partial 16S ribosomal RNA
Rfam family: Bacterial small subunit ribosomal RNA
Source: RNAcentral